UACAGAGGGUGCAAGCGUUAAUCGGAAUUACUGGGCGUAAAGCGUGCGUAGACGGUUACAUAAGUCGGGUGUGAAAGCCCCGGGCUCAACCUGGGAAUUGCAUUCGAGACUGCGUAGCUAGGGUGCGGAAGAGGGAAGCGGAAUUUCCGGUGUAGCGGUGAAAUGCGUAGAUAUCGGAAGGAACACCAGUGGCGAAAGCGGCUUCCUGGUCCAGCACCGACGUUCAGGCACGAAAGCGUGGGGAUCAAACAGG
RNAcentral lists this ribosomal RNA (253 nucleotides) under uncultured bacterium. RNAcentral's name for it is "partial 16S ribosomal RNA". It matches the Rfam family "Bacterial small subunit ribosomal RNA", at positions 524 to 776 of the family's 1533-position model. The record is from RNAcentral.